GUCUCAAGUUUCUUUUCUUCAUUAUCAAAGAUAGCAAUCAAAUCCUUUCAUUAUUUUCAUUGAAUUCCUAUAUAACAAAAAAAAUAUCGAUCUUGAAGUUUCAAAAUGAUAAAAGAGGUCUUCUUGUCCAUUUACGUGUUAAGAUAUGAAGUGCGUUAGUCUUCGUACUAUUCAACUUCGUUUCUGCAAUAUAUAUCCUGCAUCUUUGGUAAAUGGCGUUGAGAUAUUAAAUUACCGGAAGCCACAUAUUGAAGGAAGGAAGAAUAUCCUAUAUCUAUCUAUAUAUAACUCGCGGUAAGAGAGAUUCACAAGAUAUAUUGCAGGACACGUAAUUUCUGACACGACUAAAAUCGACUAGAUGAGUCAGCAAUAUACGUCAUUUUUAACAGAGAUAUGUGCAACGUUAUAAGCGUGCGCGUGUAAUGUGUUCGCAAUUAUCAUUGCUGAUUUGCACUUUAUAAGAUUCUCGGAAACCUGGCAUAUCAUUAUGAGACUGUGAGUGUCUAAUCAUAUUACUGAUUACGACUGGAGGUCAUAACGAUCAUUGUCUCUUAUCGACUAUCAUUGAUAUAUUUUUACACAUUCUCUGGAGAAAGAUUAUAUGUAUGAUUACGCUGUUAUGGGGAGAAAGAUGAUACAUGGGACAAUAAUUUACGCUGAGAUAUUACAUGUUUUGCAUUGACGGUUGGUAAAAUACACGUGCUGCCGAUGGUUGAUUACGUCGAUGGCCAAGUAAUGCAAAUUGUUGGAAUCUCUUUCAUACUUUGGAAAACAGUGCUUUUGAUGCCUCUCUCUCUCUCUCUCUCUCUCUCUCUCUCUCUCUCUCUCUCUCUCUCUCUC
Long non-coding RNA from Odontomachus brunneus, 840 nucleotides. RefSeq lists it as uncharacterized. Lineage: Eukaryota; Metazoa; Arthropoda; Insecta; Hymenoptera; Formicidae. The transcript has 6 exons. The record is from RefSeq and is a predicted model, not a curated record.